Molecule: ribosomal RNA, 783 nt
Filed under: uncultured bacterium
Lineage: Bacteria
Description: bacterial SSU rRNA
Rfam family: Bacterial small subunit ribosomal RNA
Source: RNAcentral
AGAGUUUGAUCAUGGCUCAGGACGAACGCUGGCGGCGUGCUUAACACAUGCAAGUCGAACGAUGAAGUUCCUUCGGGGAUGGAUUAGUGGCGAACGGGUGAGGAACACGUGAAGAAUCUGCCCUCCACUUUGGGAUAACUCCGGGAAACCGGGGCUAAUACCGAAUAUUGAAACAUAAGCGGCAUCGCUGAGUUUUGAAAGAAUUUCGGUGGAGGAUGACUUCGCGGCCUAUCAGCUUGUUGGUGAGGUAAUGGCUCACCAAGGCAACGACGGGUAGCCGGCCUGAGAGGGCGACCGGCCACACUGGGACUGAGACACGGCCCAGACUCCUACGGAAGGCAGCAGUGGGGAAUAUUGGGCAAUGGACGCAAGUCUGACCCAGCGACGCCGCGUGCGGGAUGAAGGCCUUCGGGUUGUAAACCGCUUUCAGCAGGGAAGAAGCGAAAGUGACGGUACCUGCAAAAGAAGCACCGGCUAACUAUGUGCCAGCAGCCGCGGUAAUACAUAGGGUGCAAGCGUUGUCCGGAAUUAUUGGGCGUAAAGAGUUCGUAGGUGGUUCGUUACGUCGGAUGUGAAAAUCUGGGGCUCAACCCCAGACCUACACUCGAUACGGGCGAGCUAGAGUUUGGUAGGGGAGACUGGAAUUCCUGGUGUAGCGGUGGAAUGCGCAGAUAUCAGGAGGAACACCAAUGGCGAAGGCAGGUCUCUGGGCCAAUACUGACACUGAGGAACGAAAGCGUGGGGAGCGAACAGGAUUAGAUACCCUGGUAGUCCACGCCGUAA